Molecule: transfer RNA, 72 nt
Filed under: Sus scrofa (pig)
Lineage: Eukaryota; Metazoa; Chordata; Mammalia; Artiodactyla; Suidae
Rfam family: tRNA
About the family: Transfer RNA (tRNA) molecules are approximately 80 nucleotides in length.
Source: Rfam by way of RNAcentral
UCCCUGGUGGUCUAGUGGUUUGGAUUCAGUGCUUUCACUGCUGUGGCCUGGGUUUAACCCCUGGUCUGGGAA